This 292-nucleotide ribosomal RNA is filed under the name uncultured bacterium. RNAcentral describes it as "partial 16S ribosomal RNA". It matches the Rfam family "Bacterial small subunit ribosomal RNA", at positions 505 to 796 of the family's 1533-position model. The record is from RNAcentral.
GUGUCAGCAGCCGCGGUAAAACGUAGGUGGCGAGCGUUAUCCGGAUUUACUGGGCGUAAAGCGUGUGCAGGCGGGGUAUCAAGUGGUGUAUGAAAUCGCUCGGCUUAACCGGGCGCGGUUAUGCCAGACUGAUACUCUGGAGUGCGGGAGAGGGGCGUGGAAUUCCGGGUGUAGUGGUGAAAUGCGUAGAGAUCCGGAGGAACCCCAGAGGCGAAGGCGGCGCCCUGGCCCGACACUGACGCUCAGACACGACAGCAUGGGGAGCGAACGGGAUUAGAAACCCCUGUAGUCC